Molecule: ribosomal RNA, 406 nt
Filed under: uncultured bacterium
Lineage: Bacteria
Description: partial 16S ribosomal RNA
Rfam family: Bacterial small subunit ribosomal RNA
Source: RNAcentral
AUUGAACGCUGGCGGCAGGCCUAACACAUGCAAGUCGAACGCGUGGCGGACGGGUGAGUAAUGUCUGGGAAACUGCCUGAUGGAGGGGGAUAACUACUGGAAACGGUCGCUAAUACCGCAUACCAUCAGAUGUGCCCAGAGGGGAUUAGAUUGUUGGUGGGGUAACGGCUCACCAAGGCGACGAUCCCUAGCUGGUCUGAGAGGAUGACCGGCAACACGGGAACUGAGACACGGUCCAGACGCCUAGGGGAGGCAGCAGUGGGGAAUAUUGCACAAGGGGCGCAAGCCUGAUGCAGCCAUGCCGCGUGAAUGAAGAAGGCCUUCGGGUUGUAAAGUACUUUCAGCGGGGAGGCGUUACCCGCAGAAGAAGCACCGGCUAACUCCGUGCCAGCAGCCGCGGUAAUUC